AAGUCGUAACAAGGUUUCCGUAGGUGAACCUGCGGAAGAAUCAAUUACCGUGGGGGAUUCGUCCCCCAAUUGAGAUAGCCCCUUUUGUUUCAUGAGUACCCCUUUGUUUUCCUCGGCGGGCCUGCCCGCCAGUAGGACAAUAUCAAAACCCUUUUGCAGUAGUAGUAACUUCAGUUAAUAAACAAAUAUUAAAA
Molecule: unclassified non-coding RNA, 194 nt
Filed under: plant metagenome
Description: partial contains small subunit ribosomal RNA and internal transcribed spacer 1
Rfam family: Eukaryotic small subunit ribosomal RNA (bases 1-46)
Source: RNAcentral